GAUGAACGCUGGCGAGAUGCCUUACACAUGCAAGUCGUACGGGGAUUUUUAAUUCAAGUGGCGGACGGGUGAGUAACACGUAAGAAUUUGCCUUUAGGAGGGGGACAACAACUGGAAACGGUUGCUAAUACCCCAUAUGCUUUCGAGUGAAAUGGAUUUUUCCGCCUAAAGAGAAGCUUGCGGCUGAUUAGCUUGUUGGUGAGGUAAUGGCUCACCAAGGCGACGAUCAGUAUCUGGUUUGAGAGGAUGAUCAGACACACUGGAACUGAGACACGGUCCAGACUCCUACGGGAGGCAGCAGUGGGGAAUUUUCCGCAAUGGGCGAAAGCCUGACGGAGCAAUCUCGCGUGGGGGAUGACGGCCUAUGGGUUGUAAACCUCUUUUUUCUAGGGAGGAAUAAAAUGACGUGUACCUGAAGAAUAAGCAUCGGCUAACUCCGUG
RNAcentral lists this ribosomal RNA (441 nucleotides) under uncultured bacterium. Its description in RNAcentral is "bacterial SSU rRNA". It matches the Rfam family "Bacterial small subunit ribosomal RNA", at positions 28 to 507 of the family's 1533-position model. The record is from RNAcentral.